GACGAACGCUGGCGGCGUGCUUAACACAUGCAAGUCGAACGGAAAGGCCCUGCUUUUGUGGGGUGCUCGAGUGGCGAACGGGUGAGUAACACGUGAGUAACCUGCCCUUGACUUUGGGAUAAAUUCAGGAAACUGGGGCUAAUACCGGAUAGGAGCUCCUGCUGCAUGGUGGGGGUUGGAAAGUUUCGGCGGUUGGGGCUGGACUCGCGGCUUAUCAGCUUGUUGGUGGGGUAGUGGCUUACCAAGGCUUUGACGGGUAGCCGGCCUGGGAGGGUGACCGGCCACAUUGGGACUGCGAUACGGCCCAGACUCCUACGGGAGGCAGCAGUGGGGAAUAUUGCACAAUGGGCGGAAGCCUGAUGCAGCAACGCCGCGUGCGGGAUGACGGCCUUCGGGUUGUAAACCGCUUUCUCCUGUGACGAAGCGUGAGUGACGGUAAUGGGUAAAGAAGCACCGGCUAACUACGUG
Molecule: ribosomal RNA, 468 nt
Filed under: uncultured bacterium
Lineage: Bacteria
Description: partial 16S ribosomal RNA
Rfam family: Bacterial small subunit ribosomal RNA
Source: RNAcentral